Small nucleolar RNA from Echinops telfairi (small Madagascar hedgehog), 201 nucleotides. Its record names the gene SNORA73. It matches the Rfam family "Small nucleolar RNA SNORA73 family". From Rfam's summary of the family: U17 (SNORA73A and SNORA73B) also known as E1 belongs to the H/ACA class of small nucleolar RNAs (snoRNAs). Vertebrate U17 is intron-encoded and ranges in length from 200-230 nucleotides, longer than most snoRNAs. It is one of the most abundant snoRNAs in human cells and is essential for the cleavage of pre-rRNA within the 5' external transcribed spacer (ETS). NCBI's taxonomy places the organism in Eukaryota, Metazoa, Chordata, Mammalia, Afrosoricida, Tenrecidae. The record is from Ensembl.
CCGACAUGGAUACUCCCAGGAGCUCACUCUCCCCAGCCUCUGUCCAGGUGCCAGGGAGGAGUGCAGGGCAAGGCCCCGUGACAGACAGUCCUUUUCCACUACGUCGGAGACCAAGCUGGGCCUCGAGCCUGCCCCUGCACUGUCCUACAGCUUCUCACCUGUGGACAAAGACAGAGGAGAAAAGGCAGGCAGGAAACAGCC